RNAcentral lists this ribosomal RNA (390 nucleotides) under uncultured bacterium. Its description in RNAcentral is "bacterial SSU rRNA". It matches the Rfam family "Bacterial small subunit ribosomal RNA", at positions 975 to 1375 of the family's 1533-position model. The record is from RNAcentral.
CUAGGCUUGACAUGACGGAAGUAGAACCUCGAAAGGGGAACGACUCGUAAAGUCGAGAACCGCCACAGAUGCUGCAUGGCUGUCGUCAGCUCGUGCCGUGAGGUGUUGGGUUAAGUCCCGCAACGAGCGCAACCCUCGGCGUUAGUUACCAUGUCUAACGCGACUGCCGGUUUCAAACCGGAGGAAGGUGGGGAUGACGUCAAGUCCUCAUGGCCCUUAUGGGUAGGGCUACACACGUCAUACAAUGGCGCGUACAGAGGGUUGCCAACCCGCGAGGGGGAGCCAAUCCCAGAAAGCGCGGCCUAAUCCGGAUUGGAGUCUGCAACUCCACUCCCUGAAGUCCGAAUCUCUAGUAAUCGCCCAUCAACAUGCUGCGGUGAAUACCUUCCC